AGUUUGAUCCUGGCUCACCCGGAUGAACGCUAGCUACAGGCUUAACACAUGCAAGUCGAGGGGCAGCAUGUUGGUUGCUUGCAACCAACGAUGGCGACCGGCGCACGGGUGAGUAACGCGUAUCCAACCUUCCGCACACUCGGGAAUAGCCUUUCGAAAGAAAGAUUAAUGCCCGAUGGUUUCCCGAAUCCGCAUGAGAACGGGAAUAAAGAUUCAUCGGUGUGCGAUGGGGAUGCGUCCCAUUAG
This 246-nucleotide ribosomal RNA is filed under the name uncultured bacterium. Its description in RNAcentral is "partial 16S ribosomal RNA". It matches the Rfam family "Bacterial small subunit ribosomal RNA", at positions 10 to 244 of the family's 1533-position model. The record is from RNAcentral.